AGCAGCCGCGGUAAUUCCAGCUCCAAUAGCGUAUAUUAAAGUUGUUGCAGUUAAAAAGCUCGUAGUUGAAUUUCGGGAUCAGUGGGUCGGUCGUGCCACUGGUAUGUACUGGCCCUACUGGUUCCUCCUUCUUGAAGAACUUGUAAUGCCAUUAAUUUGGUGUUGCAGGGAAACAGGACUGUUACUUUGAAAAAAUUAGAGUGUUUAAAGCAGGCAAUCGCUUGAAUACAUUAGCAUGGAAUAAUGAAAUAGGACGUUCGAUCCUAUUUUGUUGGUUUCUAGGAUUGACGUAAUGAUUAAUAGGGAUAGUUGGGGGCAUUAGUAUUCAAUUGUCAGAGGUGAAAUUCUUGGAUUUAUUGAAGACUAACUACUGCGAAAGCAUUUGCCAAGGAUGUUUUCAUUAAUCAAGAACGAAAGUUAGGGGAUCGAAGACGAUCAGAUACCGUCGUAGUCUUAACCAUAAACUAUGCCGACUAGGGAUCGGAUGAUGUUAAUUUUUUAAUGACUCAUUCGGCGCCUUACG
RNAcentral lists this ribosomal RNA (523 nucleotides) under uncultured Glomus. RNAcentral's name for it is "SSU rRNA". It matches the Rfam family "Eukaryotic small subunit ribosomal RNA", at positions 569 to 1092 of the family's 1831-position model. Lineage: Eukaryota; Fungi; Glomeromycota; Glomeromycetes; Glomerales; Glomeraceae. The record is from RNAcentral.